RNAcentral lists this ribosomal RNA (348 nucleotides) under Staphylococcus aureus. Its description in RNAcentral is "bacterial SSU rRNA". It matches the Rfam family "Bacterial small subunit ribosomal RNA", at positions 1 to 337 of the family's 1533-position model. RNAcentral also lists the same sequence under 2 other names. Lineage: Bacteria; Bacillati; Bacillota; Bacilli; Caryophanales; Staphylococcaceae. The record is from RNAcentral.
UUUUAUGGAGAGUUUGAUCCUGGCUCAGGAUGAACGCUGGCGGCGUGCCUAAUACAUGCAAGUCGAGCGAACGGACGAGAAGCUUGCUUCUCUGAUGUUAGCGGCGGACGGGUGAGUAACACGUGGAUAACCUACCUAUAAGACUGGGAUAACUUCGGGAAACCGGAGCUAAUACCGGAUAAUAUUUUGAACCGCAUGGUUCAAAAGUGAAAGACGGUCUUGCUGUCACUUAUAGAUGGAUCCGCGCUGCAUUAGCUAGUUGGUAAGGUAACGGCUUACCAAGGCAACGAUGCAUAGCCGACCUGAGAGGGUGAUCGGCCACACUGGAACUGAGACACGGUCCAGACU